GGAAGACAUAUGUAAGAUAUCUUUAGAAAUGCCCAAAAAAAAAAAGGAAUUAAGGAGUCCAAAUAAAUGGUCAGCUGCGGAAUGACACAUUAAUGUGUUGUUCAAACGGUUUAUUCUUGAAUGCCAAAUCCUUUGAUCUACCGACAAUUUACCUGUAAAAUUAUGUUGGCGUUCAAGGAAUAGGUGCAAGUAGUUAUUACAACAAAAAGGAAUGCUUAUCAAAACAAUCAUACUAAUUAAACAGAUAGGUAAAUACAGG
This 259-nucleotide long non-coding RNA is filed under the name Mytilus galloprovincialis (Mediterranean mussel). Lineage: Eukaryota; Metazoa; Mollusca; Bivalvia; Mytilida; Mytilidae. The record is from RNAcentral.